UCCAUGGGUGCGACGAACCAGGCUUCGGCCUGGGGCAAAGCCGCGAACGGGUGAGUAACACGUGGGUAAUCUGCCCCAAUGACCGGGACAACCCGAGGAAACUCGGGCUAAUACCGGAUGUGGUGCUUGGACAUAAGUCCUUGUACUAAAGGUAGCUUCGGCUUCCGCAUUGGGAGGGGCCCGCGGCCCAUUAGCUAGUUGGUGGGGUCAAGGCCUACCAAGGCAACGAUGGGUAGCUGGUCUGAGAGGACGAUC
RNAcentral lists this ribosomal RNA (255 nucleotides) under uncultured bacterium. RNAcentral's name for it is "partial 16S ribosomal RNA". It matches the Rfam family "Bacterial small subunit ribosomal RNA", at positions 61 to 305 of the family's 1533-position model. The record is from RNAcentral.